UGGACAGAUUAUUGUAUUCGACUAUAUUCACGGCGUAAAAUAGGGGAUUACACUGUUUUUAAAACGGAAAGUGAAUCAAUUAACAUAAUAGACUCCU
Molecule: microRNA precursor, 97 nt
Filed under: Nicotiana sylvestris (wood tobacco)
Lineage: Eukaryota; Viridiplantae; Streptophyta; Magnoliopsida; Solanales; Solanaceae
Also listed under: 1 other name
Description: MIR6152 microRNA precursor family
Rfam family: MIR6152 microRNA precursor family
Source: Rfam by way of RNAcentral